The sequence is a transfer RNA, 72 nucleotides long. It matches the Rfam family "tRNA". From Rfam's summary of the family: Transfer RNA (tRNA) molecules are approximately 80 nucleotides in length. Their secondary structure includes four short double-helical elements and three loops (D, anti-codon, and T loops). Further hydrogen bonds mediate the characteristic L-shaped molecular structure. tRNAs have two regions of fundamental functional importance: the anti-codon, which is responsible for specific mRNA codon recognition, and the 3' end, to which the tRNAs corresponding amino acid is attached (by aminoacyl-tRNA synthetases). tRNAs cope with the degeneracy of the genetic code in two manners: having more than one tRNA (with a specific anti-codon) for a particular amino acid; and 'wobble' base-pairing, i.e. permitting non-standard base-pairing at the 3rd anti-codon position. The record is from Rfam.
GGCUCGUUGGUCAAGAGGUUAAGACACCGCCCUUUCACGGCGGUAACAGGGGUUCAAUUCCCCUACGAGUCA